GUCGGGAUAGUAUAAGGGUUAAUACGCACGUUUCAUAUACGUGAGUUAGAGGUUCGAAUCCUCUUCCCGAUA
Non-coding RNA from Rhizophagus irregularis, 72 nucleotides. The record is from Rfam. Lineage: Eukaryota; Fungi; Glomeromycota; Glomeromycetes; Glomerales; Glomeraceae.